GCUGUUAGCAUGUAGCUCAGUUCGCUGUGGUGAUAAGUGGCCUUAUAAGCUGACACUAAUCCACCUGGAUACAGCCGGACACCAGACUCGGACUGACCACAGCCUCUGACAGAUCCCGUGAGGGACAAAGUAUGGAGGCGAGAGGGAAGAUGAGUGGUGUGCGUAUGCCGCAGUAGGAGGCGACUGAAAUACAACCUGAAGGAAAUUCAAGGGACGUGUGCUGCAUGCGGAGCUGCACCUGUCUCAGUCUCACAUCAGCAAAACAAAUGACCACAUCUGAGCCAAGCUGACCUCUACUGUGGAAAAUAAUGACUUCAGAAUACAUGUCCCUAAAGAGUUUUAUGAAAAAUAUUAUUAUCCUGGCACAGAUCGGGCUGUAACCAUAGCGAUUUCACCACCACCGUCGCUGUCGUCACCCGAGCUGCUGCUGCUCCCGCUGGCCCUCUGAUCUGCAUUCUUAGUCGACUGAGGAAUCUUUACUGGUGACUGCUCGGCGGAGUCGCUGGCUGCGAAUCGCCUGCUUUUCCUGUUGCUCCAUGCGGAAGAAUGAGUCAAUCCGCAGCUGAGUCUAACCCAAAACAGAGAGAGACAUGGUGUAAAUGUUGUUAGACUAUGAAGUGGUUUUAUUUCCUCCAUUGCUGUUUUUUUAAAAAAGAUUCACAAUCAGACUGGAGAAAUUAAAGAAAGAUGGGAGUAUGAGUAAAAAAAAAA
Long non-coding RNA from Acanthopagrus latus (yellowfin seabream), 711 nucleotides. RefSeq lists it as uncharacterized. The record is from RefSeq and is a predicted model, not a curated record. NCBI's taxonomy places the organism in Eukaryota, Metazoa, Chordata, Actinopteri, Spariformes, Sparidae. The transcript is spliced from 4 exons.